Molecule: ribosomal RNA, 247 nt
Filed under: uncultured bacterium
Lineage: Bacteria
Description: partial 16S ribosomal RNA
Rfam family: Bacterial small subunit ribosomal RNA
Source: RNAcentral
GGGUGCGAGCGUUGUCCGGAAUCACUGGGCGUAAAGGGCGCGUAGGCGGCCCGGUAAGUCGGGGGUGAAAUCUUGCGGCUCAACCGCAAGGCUGCCUUCUAAACUGCCAGGCUCGAGCACAGUAGAGGCAGGUGGAAUUCCCGGUGUAGCGGUGGAAUGCGUAGAGAUCGGGAAGAACAUCGGUGGCGAAGGCGGCCUGCUGGGCUGUUGCUGACGCUGAGGCGCGACAGCGUGGGGAGCAAACAGG